RNAcentral lists this ribosomal RNA (306 nucleotides) under uncultured Methylobacteriaceae bacterium. Its description in RNAcentral is "SSU rRNA". It matches the Rfam family "Bacterial small subunit ribosomal RNA", at positions 8 to 342 of the family's 1533-position model. Lineage: Bacteria; Pseudomonadati; Pseudomonadota; Alphaproteobacteria; Hyphomicrobiales; Methylobacteriaceae. The record is from RNAcentral.
AGAGUUUGAUCCUGGCUCAGAGCGAACGCUGGCGGCAGGCUUAACACAUGCAAGUCGAGCGGACCUUUCGGGGUCAGCGGCGGACGGGUGAGUAACGCGUGGGAACGUGCCUUCUGGUUCGGAAUAACCCUGGGAAACUAGGGCUAAUACCGGGUACGCCCUUAUGGGGAAAGGUUUACUGCCGGAAGAUCGGCCCGCGUCUGAUUAGCUAGUUGGUGGGGUAACGGCCUACCAAGGCGACGAUCAGUAGCUGGUCUGAGAGGAUGAUCAGCCACACUGGGACUGAGACACGGCCCAGACUCCUAC